GUCCUUUAGGUAAUUAUAAUUUAAGGUCUAACCUGCCCAUUGAUAAGUUAAAAGGCCGCAGUAAUUUGACUGUGCAAAGGUAGCAUAAUCAUUAGUUUUUUAAUUAAAAGCUUGUAUGAAUGGUUGGACGAGAUAAAAUCUGUCUCUUUAUAAAAAAUAGAAUUUAAUUUUUAAGUUAAAAAGCUUAAAUUUAUAUAAAAGACGAGAAGACCCUAUAGAUCUUUAUAUAAUUUUUUUUUGUAUUAAUAAAGAAAAUUUAAUUUAUUAAAAAAAUUUAUAUUUUAUUGGGGUAAUAAAAAGAUUAAUUAAAUUCUUUUAUAAAAAACAAUAAUUAUUGAUUAUAUGAUCCAUUAUUAAUGAUUAUAAGAUUAAGUUACCUUAGGGAUAACAGCGUAAUUUUUUUAGAGAGUUCUUAUCAAUAAAAAAGUUUGCGA
RNAcentral lists this ribosomal RNA (434 nucleotides) under Hydroporus niger. Its description in RNAcentral is "partial 16S ribosomal RNA". The record is from RNAcentral. Lineage: Eukaryota; Metazoa; Arthropoda; Insecta; Coleoptera; Dytiscidae.